CUUUGGCCAUAUUGCGUCAGCGCGGUGAUCAUCGCUCGCUUUGAAAGCAAGUGAAGUUAGCUUCCAAUAUGUAAAAUAACUGGGAUUUUUACACAAGUCACACAGCGACCCCAAUAAAAUGGAGCCUCUAAAAUCAUCAGACAAAUCUGGCAGGCAUAACCCACGUCGCAAUCACUCCCGUCAUAGGCACAGACACGGUGAACGUGAGCCCAAAGACAACAUGAGGGACACUUCAUAUGAUGGCAGGGACAGCAGGCAGUCACGUAGACGCAGGGCAGACUAAAAUGAUGAUUCUCAGUCCAGAACCGAGAAGCCUCCCAGCCGGGGUAGAAUGCCCGAUCGCCAAAAGGAUAAGAAAAGAGCCUAUCAUUCCUCCUCCUCAAGGUCAAGACACAGGAGCAGAGACAGAACCAGAGCUUCAUCCACAAGAAAGGGCCCUUCAAAAAGCAGUGAGACGUCCCGUGGGAAGAAACGUGGGAAGAAACGUGGGAAAAACGCGCAAGGAAAAGAAAGGUUUCCAAAGCUUGGAAUCUCUAUGGGUAAAUUCCUGUGCCUGAGAAAUCAAGCGGGGAUGUUGAACAUUCCAGCAGACAAACUGAUCUUAAUGCAGAUGAAGGAUUGUCUAGAACUCACCAAUGGGACGAAGAUAGGACUUUGAGACCACAAGAUUCUAGACACGAGUCUGGAAAUUGUUCUUCAAAAGAACACCUUGAAGUAGAGAAAUCUUCCAGGGACAACAAUGGCAUGUUUGACUGGAAGAGGCACAGACGGGAGCUGGAUGCAAUAUGUUUUAGGGAUGACAGUACACAUAUUAUCAAAAGGCCUACCAUGAUUUUUGGAAGUUUCUUGAGCGCUACCAAGAUUUUCAACUCAAGCUGAGUGCCAGUGAGCCACAUCGAGAUGAUGAAGAUGAGUUAACCACUGAACGCAUCAAGAAAUUCAGUAAGGUGCUUGUUACGAACCCACUUAUGCUAUAAUCCUUUAGUACGGUUUGCUCCUGCACUAGAAAUUUUGGUAUUUAAUGAAAUAUGUUAUGGUGGCUACGUGCGGGUAAAUACCCUAUACAUGUAUAAGCACUGACUGGCUUUUAUUCGCUCUCAGUUGGUGCCCAUGUACAACCAUUAUGUGCGAUUUCCAUUAGCGCGUCGUUGAGCCAGCAUAUCCCGCCGUUCCUACCGAGCUAUGUACCCCUCAUCGCUGGAUCGUGGCCGAGGCUGACGGUACUACCGGACGGAGACCUGGACUGUCGUGGCCCGCCUGAUGUGGCAGACCUCCUGGGCUUCAACGCCGACUAUUCUGUGGCUUGGCUGAUCUACGGCCGGGUGCGGAGAUGUUUGGUUUGACGGUUUCGCUAAUACCGUUGUGGGCACUGGCUGGGCAGGGCCUGUUCCUGCUACUGGUUCCUUAUUGGUAAUUAUACUCGGCCGAAUACAACUUGCCUUUGUUGUUUUACUUAUUAACUCUAUUUUGCCGGCUUGUUCUUUAUUGUAUUAUGCCUGUUUGUGUAAUUUGCUGCUUUGCUAAUUUCUUUGUAAUUCAUUUUGUUUGCCUAUAUGAUGCCUUGGGGUUCUUGCAUGAAGUUGCAGACUAACUGAGAAAGUUUGUUGUAUCACACACUGUCCUAUUGAUUGAUUUGGGAGAAUUAAUUAAAUUUUGUUAGUCAUA
Patiria miniata (bat star) is the source of this 1665-nucleotide long non-coding RNA. RefSeq lists it as uncharacterized. The record is from RefSeq and is a predicted model, not a curated record. The transcript is spliced from 4 exons. Lineage: Eukaryota; Metazoa; Echinodermata; Asteroidea; Valvatida; Asterinidae.